Molecule: long non-coding RNA, 408 nt
Organism: Toxotes jaculatrix (banded archerfish)
Lineage: Eukaryota; Metazoa; Chordata; Actinopteri; Toxotidae
Exons: 2
Source: RefSeq, a predicted model, not a curated record
UAUGAUCCCUAUGACGAGUUGGAUUUUAACCUGGAAGGUUUGGAAGGUGAACUGCACCCUGAUGUUGAAUAAGCAAAGAACGACGAAUCCCUCACAACAUCCUGCCGCUCUCCAACACCUGGUCUUCAGCACCACCGGUGUCAUCACAAUCAUCUUCCUUACAACGACAAUCUAUAGCGUUGCAGCAUUAAAACCAAAUUAGGCAUUGUGUCACAGUAAUGGGAUAAAGUAAAAGCUUUAAGAUGAAACAAAAUGUUUGUCUCUGUGUCAAUGCUAGCAUUUUUCUGUGCCUUUCAUCUCAGCUAUUUAUUAAUCCAUACAAAACCCUACAAAUGAGCAUUUCCUGUAUCUCUACUGUGUUGUGAUUCCCCAAAAUGCUGACAUUAAUAAAAAGUGCAUUAUAAAAGG